RNAcentral lists this ribosomal RNA (464 nucleotides) under Vreelandella stevensii. RNAcentral's name for it is "partial 16S ribosomal RNA". It matches the Rfam family "Bacterial small subunit ribosomal RNA", at positions 338 to 794 of the family's 1533-position model. Lineage: Bacteria; Pseudomonadati; Pseudomonadota; Gammaproteobacteria; Oceanospirillales; Halomonadaceae. The record is from RNAcentral.
CCUACGGGGGGCAGCAGUGGGGAAUAUUGGACAAUGGGCGAAAGCCUGAUCCAGCCAUGCCGCGUGUGUGAAGAAGGCCUUCGGGUUGUAAAGCACUUUCAGUGGGGAAGAAAGCCUUGGGGCUAAUACCCUCGAGGAAGGACAUCACCCACAGAAGAAGCACCGGCUAACUCCGUGCCAGCAGCCGCGGUAAUACGGAGGGUGCGAGCGUUAAUCGGAAUUACUGGGCGUAAAGCGCGCGUAGGCGGUCUGAUAAGCCGGUUGUGAAAGCCCCGGGCUCAACCUGGGAACGGCAUCCGGAACUGUCAGGCUAGGGUGCAGGAGAGGAAGGUAGAAUCCCCGGUGUAGCGGUGAAAUGCGUAGAGAUCGGGAGGAAUACCAGUGGCGAAGGCGGCCUUCUGGACUGACACUGACGCUGAGGUGCGAAAGCGUGGGUAGCAAACAGGAUUAGAUACCCCUGUAUC